CCAAACUUGGUCAUUUAGAGGAAGUAAAAGUCGUAACAAGGUCUCCGUUGGUGAACCAGCGGAGGGAUCAUUAUAGAGUUCUGAAAAGACUCCCAAACCCAUGUGGAACAUACCUCUCGUUGCCUCGGCAGGUCGCGCCUACCCGGUAUCUCUUACCCUGUAAGACCUACCCUGUCGGUGCGUACACAGCCUGCCGGCGGACCAACAAAACGCUGUUUGACACUUGAUUUCUGACAUUAUAACCUAAUAAGUUAAAACUUUCAACAACGGAUCUCUUGGUUCUGGCAUCGAUGAAGAACGCAGC
RNAcentral lists this unclassified non-coding RNA (304 nucleotides) under uncultured fungus. RNAcentral describes it as "partial contains small subunit ribosomal RNA, internal transcribed spacer 1, and 5.8S ribosomal RNA". The stretch from base 1 to 73 matches the Rfam family "Eukaryotic small subunit ribosomal RNA", at positions 1759 to 1831 of the family's 1831-position model. Lineage: Eukaryota; Fungi. The record is from RNAcentral.